AGCUUUUAGUGUCCUCUGCUCUCAAUAACUUCUGGCAUGGGAGGCAAAAUACGUAACAGGCAGAGUGUCAUCUGAAAAUAAAGGUUUCUCUUACUGCUGAGCAGAAUGGUGAAGAUGUGUUUUCACUGAUCCCCUGAACACAAAGAAGAACUAGUUUUUGGCUAGAAAAUCUAUUAAGCUUUUUGAAGCUCUGGCGUCAAAAAGUUAUGAAGUACGUUUCAGAGUCUAAAAGGUGCACGUAAAAAGAGGCGAUAUAUGCGUACGCACACUUGUGACUGCGCUGCCCUGAUGAAGCUGCGGGUGCGA
Molecule: long non-coding RNA, 306 nt
Organism: Tyto alba (common barn owl)
Lineage: Eukaryota; Metazoa; Chordata; Aves; Strigiformes; Tytonidae
Exons: 3
Source: RefSeq, a predicted model, not a curated record